This 397-nucleotide ribosomal RNA is filed under the name uncultured bacterium. RNAcentral's name for it is "partial 16S ribosomal RNA". It matches the Rfam family "Bacterial small subunit ribosomal RNA", at positions 523 to 918 of the family's 1533-position model. The record is from RNAcentral.
AUACGUAGGGGGCGAGCGUUGUCCGGAAUGAUUGGGCGUAAAGGGCGCGUAGGCGGCCCGGUAAGUCUGGAGUGAAAGUCCUGUUUUUAAGAUGGGAAUUGCUUUGGAUACUGUCGGCCUUGAGUGCAGGAGAGGUAAGUGGAAUUCCCAGUGUAGCGGUGAAAUGCGUAGAGAUUGGGAGGAACACCAGUGGCGAAGGCGACUUACUGGACUGUAACUGACGCUGAGGCGCGAAAGUGUGGGGAGCAAACAGGAUUAGAUACCCUGGUAGUCCACACUGUAAACGAUGAAUGCUAGGUGUAGGGGGUAUCGACCCCUUCUGUGCCGCAGUCAACACAAUAAGCAUUCCGCCUGGGGAGUACGGCCGCAAGGUUGAAACUCAAAGGAAUUGACGGGG